This 71-nucleotide transfer RNA is filed under the name Bos taurus (domestic cattle). It matches the Rfam family "tRNA". Rfam says of the family: Transfer RNA (tRNA) molecules are approximately 80 nucleotides in length. Their secondary structure includes four short double-helical elements and three loops (D, anti-codon, and T loops). Lineage: Eukaryota; Metazoa; Chordata; Mammalia; Artiodactyla; Bovidae. RNAcentral also lists the same sequence under 3 other names. The record is from Rfam by way of RNAcentral.
UCCCAGGUGGCUCAGAGGUAAAGAAUCUGCCUGCUGAGCAGGAGACCCAGGUUCAAUCCCUGGGUUGGGAA